GCACAAGCGGUGGAGCAUGUGGUUAAUUCGACGCAACGCGAAGAACCUUACCUGGGUUUGACAUCCCGAUCGUAUUCCAUGGAAACAUGGAGGUCAGUUCGGCUGGAUCGGUGACAGGUGCUGCAUGGCUGUCGUCAGCUCGUGUCGUGAGAUGUUGGGUUAAGUCCCGCAACGAGCGCAACCCUUGUCCUUAGUUGCCACCAUUCAGUUGGGCACUCUAAGGAGACUGCCGGUGUUAAACCGGAGGAAGGCGGGGAUGACGUCAAGUCCUCAUGGCCCUUACAUCCCGGGCUACACACGUGCUACAAUGGCAGGUACAGAGGGCUGCAAAGCCGCGAGGUAGAGCGAAUCCCAGAAAACCUGUCUCAGUCCGGAUUGAAGUCUGCAACUCGACUUCAUGAAGGCGGAAUCGCUAGUAACCGCGAAUCAGCAGGUCGCGGUGAAUACGUUCCCGGGCCUU
RNAcentral lists this ribosomal RNA (460 nucleotides) under uncultured Geothermobacter sp. RNAcentral's name for it is "bacterial SSU rRNA". It matches the Rfam family "Bacterial small subunit ribosomal RNA", at positions 923 to 1382 of the family's 1533-position model. The record is from RNAcentral. Lineage: Bacteria; Pseudomonadati; Thermodesulfobacteriota; Desulfuromonadia; Desulfuromonadales; Geothermobacteraceae.